GGGACAGGAAAUUCAUUUGUAAUAAAAGAAACUGAGAUACUUUGUUCCAGAGGCGCUCAAACUCUCUGGUCUGACCGGAUUUCUGGAAAAGUUACUGUUUUGGCUGGAAAUGCCAACUUUUGGGCUGUGGGAUGUGAAGACGGCUGCAUUCAGAUUUAUACAAAAUGUGGCCGACGUGCCAUGCCGACCAUGAUGAUGGGAUCUGCUGC
This 209-nucleotide unclassified non-coding RNA is filed under the name Hevea brasiliensis (rubber tree). The record is from RNAcentral. Lineage: Eukaryota; Viridiplantae; Streptophyta; Magnoliopsida; Malpighiales; Euphorbiaceae.